AUACUUAAAAACAAAGAUUUUGAAAUUUAUUUUUGUUAAAAAUGUACCAAAUUCCUGGACCUCUGGUCAUUAUCAAACAAUUUAAAAAUAUAAAAUAUAUUCACUUGAUCUGGUAUUUAUUAGUGGUUUGUAUUUUAUUAAGUGAAUACAAUAUAGCGAACGCUUUUAUUUUUUUCCUAUCAAAUUAGUUUUAUGAGAACAGUUGAGAUAUAUACAUCUUCCCUUCCUAGAGUGUAUUAAGCUUGGUGGGUUCACACUGGAGCGAAUGGCAGGCGAUUUUUAAAGCACAGCUGUGGUUUUGUGUGAAAGUGACAAAAUUUCGAACAGAAAUAAUUUGCUUUGGUAACAUUAAUUGUAUCAAAUGAGUGUUAAAAGAGGCAUAUACAAACAAAAAGAGAAAAUUUGUAUAUGGAUAGAUCGAUGCUCAAAUGUGAUCUAAAGGUUCAUUACAGCACAUUUCACAAAGAUCUUUAAAAAAAUACGUCAACUAGAAGCGGUGGAAUAGUACAUGAAAGUUCCCAUAAGAGAGCGUGGCCGAAAUUUAAUCUCUUUUACUUUCUAAAGUACAAAUGAAAGAAGCAUAAAUGGCUAUUUUUACUAUGGGAAAUCUCAUGCUUUGUCACACUGCCUAAGCUUGGUGGGUUCACACUAGAGCGAAUGGCAGGCGAUUUUUAAAGCACAGCUGUGGUUUUGUGUGAAAGUGACAAAAUUUCGAACAGAAAUAAUUUCCUUUGGUAACAUUAAUUGUAGCAAAUCAGUGUUAAAAGAGGCAUAUACAAACAAAAAGAGAAAAUUUGUAUAUGGAUAGAUAGAUGCUCAAAUGUGAUCUAAAGGUUACAUUACAGCACAUUUUCCAGAUGGGUACCAUACCACAAAGUUAUAUGUGAGUGCCUAUAUCUAGUUUAGUUGUUAACUGACUUUUCUUAUUUCUAGUUCAUGAAAGCUAGACAAGAUGCAAGAUUUACAUUUGAACAACACAAAAAGAGAGAGAGAAGUAGUGGAAGGUGGUGGAGAGGAAGAAGAUCCAUUUAGAACAAUAUUUAUUUUCCCAUUCGUGCUUUCAUUCAUUUAUUAAAUAAAAACUUUUUUU
Ciona intestinalis (vase tunicate) is the source of this 1090-nucleotide non-coding RNA. Lineage: Eukaryota; Metazoa; Chordata; Ascidiacea; Phlebobranchia; Cionidae. The record is from RefSeq and is a predicted model, not a curated record.